Molecule: ribosomal RNA, 407 nt
Filed under: uncultured Chloroflexota bacterium
Lineage: Bacteria; Bacillati; Chloroflexota
Description: bacterial SSU rRNA
Rfam family: Bacterial small subunit ribosomal RNA
Source: RNAcentral
UAACACGUAGGAGGCAAGCGUUAUUCGGAUUUACUGGGCGUAAAGCGCGUGUAGGCGGUUCGGAGAGUUGGAUGUGAAAGCUCCUGGCUUAACUGGGAGAGGCCGUUCAAUACUUCCGGACUUGAGGAUGGUAGAGGAAGAUGGAAUUCCGAGUGUAGUGGUGAAAUGCGCAGAUAUUCGGAGGAACACCAGUGGCGAAAGCGAUCUUCUAGACCAUAACUGACGCUCAGACGCGAAAGCUAGGGUAGCAAACGGGAUUAGAGACCCCGGUAGUCCUAGCUGUAAACGAUGUAGACUAGGCGUUGGUGGGUUCAAAUCCAUCAGUGCCGGAGCAAACGCGAUAAGUCUACCGCCUGGGGACUACGGCCGCAAGGUUAAAACUCAAAGGAAUUGACGGGGGCCCGCAC